GGGGCCUGGGCCGGGGGCGGCGCCUGCGCGCUGUGAGGGAGCGGCGCUGUGGUGAUGGGCGGGCCGUGAGCGCAGGGGUUUUCUUCAGCGUUAAUGAUUGCGUGAGGUUCCCAUAACUGCUUGACCUUGACAAGGGACGGGAUCGCUCCACCUCUCCUUUUCUGAAAAUGCUCAGAAUCCACACCCGAACACAUCAGAACAGCCAUCUGCCAGGAAAGGAGAUGAAGGUUUUGAGGCAGAGCCCCUACUCCAGUGCACGUUGACUUCAUCAAAUGGUCAGAGCUGUCGCUAUUGUUUGUGAGAACUGGAUGAGAACAAUGACAGACUGGGCUAGAAAGAGCCCUACGCAGGGAGGCUGAGAGCACAUAUACAAUAGGAUACAUUUUAAUGGCUACCCAGCUUCACCGUUUUUUGAUAUAACCAGUGGGAAUUACUAGUUUUGGCGUAUGUAUACAUACACACACCCAAGGCCUAGAUGGAUUCCUAUAGCAUUCUUUUUAGUUGCACGUCUUUGAAGAGAUCAAACCAGUCUGUUACAUUUGUCAUUUCCCAGGAGAGUGAGGAAAGAUGGUUGUCUUUUCUGUUCACUAGUCCUAGAGAUCUAAGUGGGUCUCUUCAGCUACACUCAACAGCACAGCAUUCCCUCGAAGGUCUUGAACCUGAUUCAGUAUUAUCAUCAGUCUUCUAACAGUGCCACCCUGCUGUUCAGGAAGCAUAGCUUUAGGCAUUGAAGAAAAUGAGACAGCCCCACUCUAUAUUUAAUACUCAUUUGUUCAUAGAUAACUACACACAGUCAUUUAUCAAGCAUGCUAAAGUCAAAGGAAACAGCUUCCAUGUAGUUGUCCUUGCACAGGGCCAGCUCAGGGAUGGACUAGCAGGGGGAUUUAUAAAGGUAGCCUGAGUUACUCCAGUCAGAGCACUGCCAGCAUCUCAGCACGGAGCUGAGCUGCAGCAAUGACAGCUUGAUGUGGGGCAGGCAUACCCAACACAGAAUGAGGUGGAAGGCACCACAGGCUCUGAACUGAAAGAGAAAAGCUUCAAAGGAAGAUUUGGAUAUGCCAUGCUUUAAAGGGGACAAGGAGCAGGAACAGAGCAAACAGAAAGAAGUGAUUUGCCAACAAAGCAUGAAAAAGUGUUCCAUUA
Gallus gallus (chicken) is the source of this 1143-nucleotide long non-coding RNA. RefSeq lists it as uncharacterized. The transcript has 2 exons. Lineage: Eukaryota; Metazoa; Chordata; Aves; Galliformes; Phasianidae. The record is from RefSeq and is a predicted model, not a curated record.